CCUGACCGCCCUGCAGAGCAGGGAGGCGGAGGGAGGCUGAGGCUUUCCUCCAGCAACAGGAGUCCCAGCCCCUUUCCGUGCUCCGAGUGCGAACACCCUCUCCCACUUCCCCCACGGCCCUCUUGCAAUUAACUCCUGGUGCUGAUGACAGCCCUGGGAAAUGUUAAAAUAAGAUGUGGUGGCUCUGGAAGGCAUGAGUCAGGGUUGGGCAGCAGCCAAAGCUGCCACCAGUCUCCCUUCCCCAGCUGCCGGCGGACUCUGGACAGGGAGCCGGCAGCCCCAGGAAGCAUUCGUGGUGGAGACCCGGAGGUGGCUGCCUCACUUCCCUCCCAAGCUUAGGGUCCUCUGUGCCCCUGGGUCCCAGGUGGGGCAAAAGCAGCUGCCAUUGGCUGGCUGGAGCCCCACCCCCGGGCCUACAGAGGGUCCCCCUCUUUUCUUCACCUCUAGCAAAUCCCCUUCUCCCCUCUCUUCCUCUGGUUCCCUGCCAGCUCCCGGUCCCCUGGAAUGCUGGUUCCAAUCUGGCUUCCAAAUCUCCUUUCAGCCAGACACCGGCCCUCACAUCACCUCCCCUCCUGCUCGGCUGCCCUCAUUCUUUGGAUCCCUAGGCUGACACUCCUGCCGGCCCUUCAUCUUCCCUUACUGAUCCCAGAAUGAGGGACGGAGCGAGCACCUCCACGCUACAAAUCCAGGUCCGUGUCCUGCAGAUGCAGCGGUCCUGGCUGCAGGUUUGGGGGAGUCCAGCGGGGAGGCCCCCGGGCCAGCAGAGCCUCCCAGAGACGCCGCCCCCCCCCCCCCCCCGAGGCACUGGCCGGUGCCAGCACGUGGCCCGAGCCCCGCUUGUCCAGACCCGGGGCUCCUCACACCGCCUUCUCAGGGGCAGACGCACACCGCCCACGUCCAGUGGGGGUGACUCAGGCUGUACUUGGGCCCGGGCUCCGAGCCCAGCAUCGCCCCCACCCCCUCCGAGAAGAGAAGGGUGAAGAGACCAGGCUCUUGGCCUCCAGAGCCUUGCCGCAAACCCCGGGCCCGAGCCCGGCUUCCCAUCUACGAAGCGGAGGAAGGAACGCCCGCCUGGCGAGACCGUUGGCAACACUGGGUGCCAUAUUCACGCGACGCAUUCAGCAGAGUCUGGAAAAUACGAAAACGGAAGAAGACAACCACAAGCCUCCCGUCCAUGUCACACACCCUGCCCCCCAAACACACAGAGCCCGGGAUCCCACCAGAGGGGCAAGCUGGUAGUUCCACAUGCCGUCCUCAGAGGCGUCACCGACAAAAACCACUAGCCUUCUCCGUGUCAAGCCCCGGGUGGACCCUCAGACAAGCACAUCCUGACCGGGGACAGCCCAGAAAUUGCAACUCAGAAAUGACCGGACUCAGAAAUGACGGCCCCCCCCCCCCCCGCCCCCGCGGAGCCUCAGUGACCCAACACCUAUCCCAGCCUUGGCACCUGCUCGGCACCCACGCCCCCUCCUGCCCCACCAGGCUCCUCCCCUGCCCUUCACUUUGCUUAUCUUCACACCAGAAGAUGAGAGCAAGGGCACACCCAGCCUCAUCAGGCUUUCCCAAUUACUUUUGCCUGAAGCCCCAUGAGUAGGAGCCUGCCCACAGCCUAAGACGGCUCAGAAGAGGAAGAAAACAAGGGGAACCUACACUUUGGGUGGUUCCCAGAAAUACGAUAUGGAAGAGGUCUGACCCCUGGGAAGGCUAGCAACUGGACAGGAGACAACAGUACUGCCUUAGGAACUCAUCACGUUUGAACUCAUUGCAUUUCCUUCAAGCACUCACUCACCUGGGCCCUGCCUGGGCAAGGGGUGCCCGCAGCCCAAGACCCCCAGAAGCCUGACCAAGCAGGAUAGCUCCAGCCACCGCUCUCACGGGCAUCUCUGACUCAACCUGCUCAAAUCCAGACGCUUUAUCUCCCUCCCCACACGCACCCCUCACCGCCAUCCGCCACCUCGGUCAACGGUACCACUAUCCGCCCACAGUCACUCAGAGAGCCGGGGCUCACCCUGGAUCCUCCCCCCUGCCGUGUUUUCCAAACUUAUUAGUCACCGAGUCCAGUUCACGUGUAAAAUUUCCCUCUCCUCUCCUGUCCCCUUCACCUGGGUUCAGAACCUCAUCCUCGCUCACCUGGACUUCUGCAAAAGCCCUUCUUAUUCUCUCUUCCCCAGUCUCUCAUUCCACCACUGCCGGGGAAGGGCUUCCGAAAUGAACCAAACAAGUCGUUGUCCUGCUUCAACAGCUUCCACUGGCUCCUUACUGCCUAGAGUCAUGAUGUCCAAACUACUUUGACUGCUGUGUCUAAUCAAACAGAUGCUGGUAUCCAUCCCUAAGAACUUCCCGGGAGAGGUCCCAACAGAAGGCUCUGUCGCUGAAACUGAGCUCAAAUUACUUGGGCUCAGAGGAAAGAACCAUAGGCUCUGCUGGCUGGAAGGAACCCCAGAGGUUCAUCGAUGGCAAGCUCCAGUCUCUAAAUUCAGCUCACUCCAGAAAUAACAGCCUCUACCCACUCCCAAGCGUGGGAAGAGAUCGGGAACAGCAUUUCUGAAACUUCAAGGUACAUACGAAUCUCCCAGGGAUCUUGUCAUACAGAUCCUGAGUCCGUAGGUCUGUCGGGGCAAGGGGGAGGUGGGGUGGGGGUUCUGCCUCUCUAACAAUCUCCCAGGUGAUGCACGGAUGCUGGUGGCCCCACAGACACACCUGGAGCAGGAAGGAUCUGGAAGGCCUGCUGCCCUCAGAAGCUCCUGCUUGCAUAGCAGGCGUGCAGGGCGUGGGCAGACUGAGCUUCCCAAGGUACAAGCUAUGUAUUUUUUCCAACUACAGAUCGAACCACAGUGCUCUUUACCACCACAGAAAAUAAGUGUUGGAUGGAUGAGUGGAUGGUUGCCGAUACGAAGGUCGAAUGUGCCAUCAGAACAACUGGCAAAUUAAUACACUGUCCUAAAAAUUGCAUAUCCAAGUAAAAAUGUCCUGGGGGAAAAUGAAGGAAGAGGGAAGGAAGGCAGGAGAGAAA
This is a long non-coding RNA of Leopardus geoffroyi (Geoffroy's cat), 3013 nucleotides long. RefSeq lists it as uncharacterized. The record is from RefSeq and is a predicted model, not a curated record. Lineage: Eukaryota; Metazoa; Chordata; Mammalia; Carnivora; Felidae. The transcript has 4 exons.